This 873-nucleotide ribosomal RNA is filed under the name Mycoclelandia arenacea. RNAcentral describes it as "eukaryotic LSU rRNA". It matches the Rfam family "Eukaryotic large subunit ribosomal RNA", at positions 58 to 946 of the family's 3401-position model. The record is from RNAcentral. Lineage: Eukaryota; Fungi; Ascomycota; Pezizomycetes; Pezizales; Pezizaceae.
AAAGAACCACAGGGAUUGCCCUAGUAACGGCGAGUGAAGCGGCAAAAGCUCAGAUUUGAAAUCUGGCACCAUUUUGGUGUCCGAGUUGUAGUCUGUAGAGGUGUAUUCGAGUGUAGCUUUGGCUUAAGUUCCUCCGAACAGGACGUCAUAGAGGGUGAGAACCCCGUUAACGGCCUUUGUCUUAUGCUCAUGUGAAUCUCCUUCAAUGAGUCGAGUUGUUUGGGAAUGCAGCUCUAAAUGGGUGGUAAAUUCCAUCUAAAGCUAAAUAUUGGCAAGAGACCGAUAGCGCACAAGUAGAGUGAUCGAAAGAUGAAAAGAACUCUGAACAGAGAGUGAAAUAGUACGUGAAAUUGUUGAAAGGGAAGCACUUGCGACCAGACGUACUUGCAGCUGAUCAAUCCUCAUUUUUGGGGGUGCACUCGGUUGUUUGUAGGUCAGCAUCAGUUAUGGUGGUGGGAAAAAGACUAUGGGAAUGUAGCUCCUUUCGGGGAGUGUUAUAGCCCUUGGUGUAAUACCACUUGCUGUGACUGAGGACUGCGCUUUAGCGAGGAUGCUGGCAUAAUGGUCGUAAGUGACCCGUCUUGAAACACGGACCAAGGAGUCUAACAUCUAUGCGAGUGUUUGGGUGUUCAAACCCUUAUGCAGAAUGAAAGUAAAUGGAGGUGGGAACCCCACAAAGGUGCACCAUCGACCGAUCCUGAUGUUUUCAGAUGGAUUUGAGUAAGAGCAUAGCUGUUGGGACCCGAAAGAUGGUGAACUAUGCCUGAAUAGGGUGAAGCCAGAGGAAACUCUGGUGGAGGCUCGCAGCGGUUCUGACGUGCAAAUCGAUCGUCAAAUUUGGGUAUAGGGGCGAAAGACUAAUCGAACCAUCUA